Molecule: ribosomal RNA, 269 nt
Filed under: uncultured bacterium
Lineage: Bacteria
Description: partial small subunit ribosomal RNA
Rfam family: Bacterial small subunit ribosomal RNA
Source: RNAcentral
AGGACGAACGCUGGCGGCGUGCCUAACACAUGCAAGUGGAGCGACGAACCAGGCUUCGGCCUGGGGCAGAGCCGCGAACGGGUGAGUAACACGUGGGUAACCUGCCCUGAUGAUUGGGACAACCCGAGGAAACUCGGGCUAAUACCGGAUGUGCCCGCAAGGGGAAAGGAAGCUUCGGCCUCCGCAUCGAGAUGGGCCCGCGGCCCAUUAGCUUGUUGGUGAGGUAACGGCUCACCAAGGCUUCGAUGGGUAGCUGGUCUGAGGGACGA